This 114-nucleotide ribosomal RNA is filed under the name Salvator merianae (Argentine black and white tegu). Lineage: Eukaryota; Metazoa; Chordata; Lepidosauria; Squamata; Teiidae. The record is from RNAcentral.
UUCUGUAUUUAGGCUGCCUCUUGCUAAUCCUGUCUGACCUCAGAAGCAAAACAAGGGCAGGCUUUGGUAAUACUUGUUUGGGAGACCACCUGUGGGCACCAGCAAAUGUCCAAU